RNAcentral lists this ribosomal RNA (301 nucleotides) under uncultured bacterium. RNAcentral describes it as "partial 16S ribosomal RNA". It matches the Rfam family "Bacterial small subunit ribosomal RNA", at positions 509 to 807 of the family's 1533-position model. The record is from RNAcentral.
CAGCCGCCGCGGUAAUACGAGGGGGGCAAGCGUUGUUCGGAAUUAUUGGGCGUAAAGGGUGCGUAGGCGGUUUGAUAAGUCUUGUGUGAAAUCUAUGGGCUCAACCCAUAGUCUGCACAGGAAACUGUCGGGCUUGAGAGUGGGAGAGGUGAGUGGAAUUUCCGGUGUAGCGGUGAAAUGCGUAGAUAUCGGAAGGAACACCUGUGGCGAAAGCGGCUCACUGGACCAUUUCUGACGCUGAUGCACGAAGGCUAGGGGAGCAAACAGGAUUAGAUACCCCCGUAGUCCCUGUCUCUUAUAC